CUCCUGUCAGAGUGACACAAAUUCUUUCAGUCCAUUGCCUGCGACGCGCACACAUCGGGACCUGGACAGGGGGGGGCGAGCGAAGGCGGCCGACACAUAAUCCACUCAUAAAGAUCCAGCUGUGCUUCCAGCUCUUCCCAAGCGAGACCCCGCCAUCCAACAUGUCCGACAGCGCCAGCGAAGCAUUAGCGCCGACCGUGGAGGAAGGGAGCGCGGCGCCGGCGGAGAAUCCCUGCGCCGAACUCAAGGUCGCCAUGGAGAAAUGCGCAGCAGAGAAAGGGGAAGAUAACUGCCAGGAGCUCAUCCAAGCCUAUAAAGAAUGUAUGAAAGCCAUCGGACAGCAGAUCUGAUGUAGGCCAAGGUACCGUAUUAGUGACAAGGUCUGUGUGUUCUGAAUCUUCCAUAUCCCCCAUCGUGCUGUCCGCUCUAAAUCCAACCAUUACCCUGUGAUGACCAGAUGGGGGCGCUCCAAUCUACACAGGUGUUUCACAUGAAGAGCACCUGUCCUAUUCUAUCUUGUAUACGCUCGCAGGAACUCAGGCCUCUUGGAGGGAGACGAACAAAUCAACAUAGUCUU
Molecule: long non-coding RNA, 577 nt
Organism: Nanorana parkeri
Lineage: Eukaryota; Metazoa; Chordata; Amphibia; Anura; Dicroglossidae
Exons: 3
Source: RefSeq, a predicted model, not a curated record